Molecule: ribosomal RNA, 468 nt
Filed under: uncultured bacterium
Lineage: Bacteria
Description: partial 16S ribosomal RNA
Rfam family: Bacterial small subunit ribosomal RNA
Source: RNAcentral
GACGAACGCUGGCGGCGUGCUUAACACAUGCAAGUCGAACGGAAAGGCCCUGCUUUUGUGGUGUGCUCGAUUGGCGAUCGGGUGAGUAACACGUGAGUAACCUGCUCUUGACUUUGGGAUAACUUCAGGAAACUGGGGCUAAUACCGGAUAGGAGCUCCUGCUGCAUGGUGGGGGUUGGAAAGUUUCGGCGGUUGGGGAUGGACUCGCGGCUUACCAGCUUGUUGGUGGGGUAGUGGCUUACCAAGUCUUUGAAGGGUAGCCGGCCUGAGAGGGUGAACGGCGACAUGGGGACUGAGAUACGGCCCAGACUCCUACGGGAGGCAGCAGGGGGGAAUAUUGCACAAUGGGCGGAAGCCUGAUGCGGCAACGCCGCGUGCGGGAUGACGGCCUUCGGGUUGUAAACCGCUUUCGCCUGUGACGAAGCGUGAGUGACGGUAAUGGGUGAAGAAGCACCGGCUAACUACGUG